GAGAUGGAUUGGUGGCCUUCGGGAACGUCUGACACAGGUGCUGCAUGGCUGUCGUCAGCUCGUGUCGUGAGAUGUUGGGUUAAGUCCGUAACGAGCGCAACCCUUGUCCUUAGUUACCAGCACGUUAUGGUGGGCACUCUAAGGAGACUGCCGGUGACAAACCGGAGGAAGGUGGGGGAUGACGUCAAGUCAUCAUGGCCCUUACGGCCUGGGCUACACACGUGCUACAAUGGUCGGUACAAAGGGUUGCCAAGCCGCGAGGUGGAGCUAAUCCCAUAAAACCGAUCGUAGUCCGGAUCGCAGUCUGCAACUCGACUGCGUGAAGUCGGAAUCGCUAGUAAUCGUGAAUCAGAAUGUCACGGUGAAUACGUUCCCGGGCCUU
This 382-nucleotide ribosomal RNA is filed under the name uncultured Pseudomonas sp. RNAcentral describes it as "bacterial SSU rRNA". It matches the Rfam family "Bacterial small subunit ribosomal RNA", at positions 1003 to 1382 of the family's 1533-position model. Lineage: Bacteria; Pseudomonadati; Pseudomonadota; Gammaproteobacteria; Pseudomonadales; Pseudomonadaceae. The record is from RNAcentral.